Molecule: ribosomal RNA, 207 nt
Filed under: uncultured bacterium
Lineage: Bacteria
Description: partial 16S ribosomal RNA
Rfam family: Bacterial small subunit ribosomal RNA
Source: RNAcentral
CGCGUAGGCGGACUGUUAAGUCGGGGGUGAAAUCCCGGGGCUCAACCCCGGAACUGCCCUCGAUACUGGCAGUCUUGAGUUCGAGAGAGGUGAGUGGAACUCCGAGUGUAGAGGUGAAAUUCGUAGAUAUUCGGAAGAACACCAGUGGCGAAGGCGGCUCACUGGCUCGAUACUGACGCUGAGGUGCGAAAGUGUGGGGAGCAAACA